This 222-nucleotide ribosomal RNA is filed under the name uncultured rumen bacterium. RNAcentral describes it as "partial 16S ribosomal RNA". It matches the Rfam family "Bacterial small subunit ribosomal RNA", at positions 291 to 525 of the family's 1533-position model. The record is from RNAcentral.
CCUACGGGAGGCAGCAGCCGCGGUAAUAGCUCCUACGGGAGGCAGCAGUGAGGAAUAUUGGUCAAUGGGCGAGAGCCUGAACCAGCCAAGUAGCGUGCAGGAUGACGGCCCUAUGGGUUGUAAACUGCUUUUAUACAGGGAUAAAGUCGGGGACGUGUUCCCCGUUUGCAGGUACUGUAUGAAUAAGGACUGGCUAAUACCGUGCCAGCAGCCGCGGUAAUA